This 543-nucleotide small RNA is filed under the name Streptococcus alactolyticus. Its description in RNAcentral is "ROOL RNA". It matches the Rfam family "ROOL RNA". Rfam says of the family: Firmicutes, Fusobacteria (1 example), Tenericutes (1 example). Environment (Cow rumen (57)) Lineage: Bacteria; Bacillati; Bacillota; Bacilli; Lactobacillales; Streptococcaceae. The record is from RNAcentral.
UUUAAAACAAUUAACUAAAUAAUUUAGUGCAGAUUGUUUGACAGCAUGCUAAAGUUACAUGCUUAAUAGCUCGUUACGCUAGCGGUGGGAUACUGCUGUUAGAUAAGUAAUCAGUCUUUGAUUGUUGCGAAGUGAGAGAAUAGCAAGAGUGCGUGUGACGUGGAGAAUAUGUGUAACUAGGCUAAAUCUAAACGGUGGUGGCGAUAAUAGACGUCUCUGUGAGAAAUAACCCUGCAAAGCCCAAGUUUGACCGCUUGAAGCAAGUAGGGAGUUGUCAAAAUAAGCCAUUGUGCGCAUUGACGAGUGAAAAGCUCGUUGCUUACACUAAAAGAUUGUACAAGUAGCCCAAAGGCGCAGUCAUCAAUUGGAAUAUCUUUUUUCUGAAUGUUGGGUGAACGUUGAAGGUAACCAAUCCUGUCUAGUCAUUAAAACUCUUAGGAAGUUGUGAGGUAGCUCCUCAUAGCUCAGACCUAAGACGGCUAUCAGCUAAUAAAUUGCAUAUAUUUGAAGCAGAGCGAAGGCUCAUUUAGUUAGUUGUUUUAA